AAAAAUGUGUGAUACGGUUCUGGGGUAGUCGUGAGAAGUCCGAUAGGUCGAACGGCGAGAUUCACGCCCCUCCAGGCCACUGGCCCCCGCCCUCCGCAGAAGGGGCCCGCCGACCGCGCGGAGCAGUCCCUGGCGGGGUCGUGUCCGGUUGCCUUUCCACUCGCCGCGGGGCGGGAAGUUUCCAGCGUGCGGUGGGCCGCACUUCUCCCCUAGUAGGAAAUCGCAACCAGAUGGGUACCAGCCUAAGAACCUGGUGCGCAACCUGUCCUUCAGCGGGCCAAGGUUCUCGCUUGUUGGGCAGAGCAUCAGUGUCCUGGCUGGCUGCUCGGCGGUAUGUAUGGAGGAGUCGAUUCGCCAAAGCCUUUGGGCGCCAGUGCUCCCGCCAAGUGCGCGCAGUUCUUCUCGCAUGACGGACCUACCUGGGCUGGCCCCGGACCCGCGCCGCUGUUGGCUUGGGAUGCUCUCGGGCGGAAUAAUCGCUGCCGUCAGCGGCGCUACAGCUUUGGACAAAUUCACGACCCGUCU
Molecule: ribosomal RNA, 525 nt
Filed under: Penaeus monodon (black tiger shrimp)
Lineage: Eukaryota; Metazoa; Arthropoda; Malacostraca; Decapoda; Penaeidae
Description: partial 28S ribosomal RNA
Source: RNAcentral